UACGUAGGGGGCUAGCGUUGCUCGGAAUUACUGGGCGUAAAGCGCACGUAGGCGGAUUGUUAAGUCGGGGGUGAAAUCCUGGAGCUCAACUCCAGAACUGCCUUCGAUACUGGCGAUCUCGAGUUCGGGAGAGGUGAGUGGAACUGCGAGUGUAGAGGUGAAAUUCGUAGAUAUUCGCAAGAACACCAGUGGCGAAGGCGGCUCACUGGCCCGAUACUGACGCUGAGGUGCAAAAGCGUGGGGAGCAAACAGG
This 253-nucleotide ribosomal RNA is filed under the name uncultured bacterium. RNAcentral describes it as "partial 16S ribosomal RNA". It matches the Rfam family "Bacterial small subunit ribosomal RNA", at positions 524 to 776 of the family's 1533-position model. The record is from RNAcentral.